Molecule: ribosomal RNA, 422 nt
Filed under: uncultured bacterium
Lineage: Bacteria
Description: bacterial SSU rRNA
Rfam family: Bacterial small subunit ribosomal RNA
Source: RNAcentral
UGAGGAAUAUUGGGCAAUGCCCGCAAGGGUGACCCAGCAACGCCGCGUGGAGGAUGAAUGUCGUAAGAUUGUAAACUCCUGUUAGAGGGGAAGAAUAGUACCGGUUGGACCGGUAUAUGACUGUACCCUCAGAGAAAGCCCCGGCUAACUACGUGCCAGCAGCCGCGGUAAUACGUAGGAGGCAAGCGUUGUCCGGAUUUACUGGGUGUGAAGGGCGCGCAGGCGGGAUAAAAAGUCAGUGGUGAAAUCCUACAGCUUAACUGUAGAACUGCCUUUGAUACUUUUAUUCUUGAGUUCGGGAGAGAGAGACGGAAUUCCAGGUGUAGUGGUGAAAUACGUAGAUAUCUGGAAGAACACCAGUUGCGAAGGCGGUCUCUUGGUCCGACACUGACGCUGAGGCGCGAAAGCGUGGGGAGCAAACA